AAGGAGGAAGUUCAGAAAGUUCAAAUAAAGGUUAUGAGGAGGUCUGAUAAUCUAGAGAUAGAUCUUCAGAAUCAUGACUUUCAAUAAUAAAGUGAAAUGCUCACAUUUUGCAGUAUCAGUAGUGUCUGUAUGACAGCUGGUCAGUUCUCAAUAUCUCAGCAUAUCUCAACAGAAAUGUUUCCUAGACAUAUAUCCCAACGACCCUGACUUUUCCUCUAGCGUCACCAUGAGGUUGACACUGGUUAUAGUUAGGAAUUGGAUGUAUUGCCAUGACAUUUGGUUCAAACCUGUAUGUCCCCAUUAGGAUGAACUCUACUAAGUUUAGUGAACCCCUGUUUUUUGAUUGAUCGUAAUUUGUCCAAUUAGCAAAACUAAUAACAUUCCCAUCAGCUGUACUUUGUGUUUAAUGGUAAUUAGUAGAUUUUAGCAUGUUAACCCAUUUUACUAAAAUGCUGAACAUGAACACACAUCAAAAUGGCCAACUUUGACGCCACGCCACGGACACGCCCUUCAACUUAUAGUCACAAAUCACAACUUUUAAUCAGCAAUGUUUUUUAAGUGUAGAUGUCAUUGUCAACAUUUUAAGGGUCUUCUGACCAAAUUUCAGCUAGAUUUGUUCAAUCUGCUGGGAGAAAUACAUUAAAGUGUAAUAAAUUCGACCACUAGGUGGUGCUCUCACUAUAAGUUAAUUUUUUCACAUAGAUGUGUUCAGGGCGGGACUCUUAUCAAUUCAAUUCAAUUCAAUUCAAUUUUAUUUGUAUAGCGCCAAUUCAUAACAGAAGUUAUCUCAGGACACUUUUCAAAUAGAGCAGGUCUAGACCGAACUCUUUAAAACAUUAUUUACAGAGACCCAACAGUACCACCAUGAGCAAGCACUUGGCGACAAGGGCAAGGAAAAACUGCCUGUUAAAAGGCAGAAACCUAGGACAGAUCCUUCGGCUCUAGGUGGGUGGUCGUCUGCCUCGACCAGUUGGGGUGAGAGAGAGAGAGAGAGAGAGAGAGACAGAGAGACAGACAGACAGACAGACAGACAGA
Long non-coding RNA from Dicentrarchus labrax (European seabass), 1035 nucleotides. RefSeq lists it as uncharacterized. NCBI's taxonomy places the organism in Eukaryota, Metazoa, Chordata, Actinopteri, Moronidae. The transcript has 2 exons. The record is from RefSeq and is a predicted model, not a curated record.